GCUCCCGUAGCACAGUCGGUUAGCGCGUCGUACUUAUAAGCAGUACAGGCGAGUUUCGCUGAGGGUGCUCAAGUAAUGCGAAGGUCGGGGUUCAAUCCCCCCCGGGAGCA
Molecule: non-coding RNA, 110 nt
Organism: Desmophyllum pertusum
Lineage: Eukaryota; Metazoa; Cnidaria; Anthozoa; Scleractinia; Caryophylliidae
Source: the annotation of a GenBank genome assembly